This 997-nucleotide long non-coding RNA is filed under the name Felis catus (domestic cat). Its description in RNAcentral is "lncRNA (ENSFCAG00000042060.2)". The record is from RNAcentral. Lineage: Eukaryota; Metazoa; Chordata; Mammalia; Carnivora; Felidae.
CGGCCACCAGAGGAGCACCGUCGGAAGCCGGGGCGGACACGCCGGCCCGGUUGGCUCCGCGCAGGGGCCCUGCCAGUGGUGGCGAGACGGUGCCCGGGGUGCUGCGCGACGCGGCGCGGAGACACGCACUUUCGCCCCCGAAAGCAGUGUCUGCACCCUGCCGGGCAAACAGCUCUCUGGAAAAGCCCUGCCUGCUAGUAAAAUGGACCAAAUCGACUUGUGAUGAGACUCGGCUUUCUAGAUAACACGUCAGGGGAUGAGUGUAAGCGGGAGUUUCUUCUUCAAUUCAACAUCCACUGCUAAUUUGUACGGUUCAGUAACGGGCAUCAUAUAAAUCCCAAUCCCUUGCAUGCGUGGGAUAAAUCAGAAACAGCAUAACAAACCUUGAUGCGUGCUGUUUGGCAGAAACAUGUCACUUCGUCGAACUGCUUUCUUAAGUCAGAAGAAUAAACACCACGCUCAGCAGCAUACAUCCAUACCUGUUUACAGACGCUGUGUAUAUAAAUGUCUUUACGUGAAGCAUCGCCCAUUGUACCUGUGCUUUGAACCAAACGGAGAAGGACGACUGGAACUCACGAAUCCAGGAGUAUAAAUCAAAAGGGCUCUGACAAGUUGGAGAAAUGGUCAGAAACAAGCAGAAUGAGGUCUUCUGAGUGCAGGGUCACACAUCAGAGAAGACAAAAAAAAACAAUGAACUCCACAAAUGGCGGAAUCCAGGGCUCACAGUCACUGACAAGCUGACCGUGAAUCAGAAACGGGAAGCUGUAUAGGCUCGGUGGGCUGAGGAAAAGUUAUGGCACCUGUCAGGCCUCUUCAGGGGACUGUAUCAAGCCCCAGACAACCCAAUUUGGGGAGUAACCCUGAUCCUGGUUCAGAGGGGGAUGGCACAAGGUUACUUAUGAAAAGUCGAGGCGGUGGGACUUUUUAAUCAAAGAGAAGUGUAAAAACCCACGUGGAAUAUUUAACGUCUUCGCAUCUGUAGAUGACAGUCCCCAAG